This 1372-nucleotide ribosomal RNA is filed under the name uncultured bacterium. RNAcentral describes it as "bacterial SSU rRNA". It matches the Rfam family "Bacterial small subunit ribosomal RNA", at positions 28 to 1381 of the family's 1533-position model. The record is from RNAcentral.
GAUGAACGCUGGCGGCGUGCCUAAUACAUGCAAGUCGAGCGAACGGACGAGAAGCUUGCUUCUCUGAUGUUAGCGGCGGACGGGUGAGUAACACGUGGAUAACCUACCUAUAAGACUGGGAUAACUUCGGGAAACCGGAGCUAAUACCGGAUAAUAUUUUGAACCGCAUGGUUCAAAAGUGAAAGACGGUCUUGCUGUCACUUAUAGAUGGAUCCGCGCUGCAUUAGCUAGUUGGUAAGGUAACGGCUUACCAAGGCAACGAUGCAUAGCCGACCUGAGAGGGUGAUCGGCCACACUGGAACUGAGACACGGUCCAGACUCCUACGGGAGGCAGCAGUAGGGAAUCUUCCGCAAUGGGCGAAAGCCUGACGGAGCAACGCCGCGUGAGUGAUGAAGGUCUUCGGAUCGUAAAACUCUGUUAUUANGGAAGAACAUAUGUGUAAGUAACUGUGCACAUCUUGACGGUACCUAAUCAGAAAGCCACGGCUAACUACGUGCCAGCAGCCGCGGUAAUACGUAGGUGGCAAGCGUUAUCCGGAAUUAUUGGGCGUAAAGCGCGCGUAGGCGGUUUUUUAAGUCUGAUGUGAAAGCCCACGGCUCAACCGUGGAGGGUCAUUGGAAACUGGAAAACUUGAGUGCAGAAGAGGAAAGUGGAAUUCCAUGUGUAGCGGUGAAAUGCGCAGAGAUAUGGAGGAACACCAGUGGCGAAGGCGACUUUCUGGUCUGUAACUGACGCUGAUGUGCGAAAGCGUGGGGAUCAAACAGGAUUAGAUACCCUGGUAGUCCACGCCGUAAACGAUGAGUGCUAAGUGUUAGGGGGUUUCCGCCCCUUAGUGCUGCAGCUAACGCAUUAAGCACUCCGCCUGGGGAGUACGACCGCAAGGUUGAAACUCAAAGGAAUUGACGGGGACCCGCACAAGCGGUGGAGCAUGUGGUUUAAUUCGAAGCAACGCGAAGAACCUUACCAAAUCUUGACAUCCUUUGACAACUCUAGAGAUAGAGCCUUCCCCUUCGGGGGACAAAGUGACAGGUGGUGCAUGGUUGUCGUCAGCUCGUGUCGUGAGAUGUUGGGUUAAGUCCCGCAACGAGCGCAACCCUUAAGCUUAGUUGCCAUCAUUAAGUUGGGCACUCUAAGUUGACUGCCGGUGACAAACCGGAGGAAGGUGGGGAUGACGUCAAAUCAUCAUGCCCCUUAUGAUUUGGGCUACACACGUGCUACAAUGGACAAUACAAAGGGCAGCGAAACCGCGAGGUCAAGCAAAUCCCAUAAAGUUGUUCUCAGUUCGGAUUGUAGUCUGCAACUCGACUACAUGAAGCUGGAAUCGCUAGUAAUCGUAGAUCAGCAUGCUACGGUGAAUACGUUCCCGGGUCU